UAAAAGUAGGGAAGCUGGUGAGCUAACUGCCAAGAAAAGCCGCUAUUGUUUUUAUUGUACCCGUACCGUAAACCGACACAGGUGGAUGAGGAGAGAAUCCUAAGGCCGACGGGAGAAGCAUUGUUAAGGAACUCGGCAAAAUAACCCCGUAACUUCGGGAGAAGGGGUGCCUCUAGAAAUAGAGGCCGCAGAGAAUUGGCCCAAGCAACUGUUUAGCAAAAACACAGGUCUAUGCAAAACCGAAAGGUGAAGUAUAUGGGCUGACGCCUGCCCGGUGCUGGAAGGUUAAGGGGAGAGCUUAGCGUAAGCGAAGGUUCGAACUUAAGCCCCAGUAAACGGCGGCCGUAACUAUAACGGUCCUAAGGUAGCGAAAUUCCUUGUCGGGUAAGUUCCGACCCGCACGAAAGGCGUAAUGAUUUGGGCACUGUCUCGACAAUGCACCCGGUGAAAUUGAAAUACCAGUGAAGAUGCUGGUUACCUGCGCCAGGACGGAAAGACCCCAUGGAGCUUUACUCUAGCUUGAUACUGGGAUUCGGUAUUGCAUGUACAGGAUAGGUGGGAGACUAGGAAGUGGUGACGCCAGUUGCCAUGGAGUCAUUGUUGGGAUACCACCCUUGCAGUAUUGGAUUUCUAACAUGUGCCCGUGAUCCGGGCAGUGGACAAUGUCAGGUGGGGAGUUUGACUGGGGCGGUCGCCUCCGAAAGAGUAUCGGAGGCGCUCAAAGGUCUUCUCAGAAUGGUUGGAAACCAUUCGCAGAGUGCAAAGGCAUAAGAAGGCUUGACUGUGACACCGACGGGUGGAGCAGGUACGAAAGUAGGACUUAGUGAUCCGGUGGUAUAAAGUGGGAUUGCCAUCGCUCAACGGAUAAAAGCUACCCUGGGGAUAACAGGCUUAUCACUCCCAAGAGUUCACAUCGACGGAGUGGUUUGGCACCUCGAUGUCGGCUCAUCGCAUCCUGGGGCUGUAGUAGGUCCCAAGGGUUGGGCUGUUCGCCCAUUAAAGCGGUACGCGAGCUGGGUUCAGAACGUCGUGAGACAGUUCGGUCCCUAUCCGGCGUAGGCGUAGGAUAUUUGAGAGGAGCUGACCUUAGUACGAGAGGACCGGGUUGGACGAACCUCUGGUGUAUCGGUUGUCAUACCAAUGGCAUGGCCGAGUAGCCAAGUUUGGAAGGGAUAAACGCUGAAGGCAUCUAAGCGUGAAGCCCCCCUCAAGAUAAGAUAUCCCAUAGC
Molecule: ribosomal RNA, 1229 nt
Filed under: Mobilisporobacter senegalensis
Lineage: Bacteria; Bacillati; Bacillota; Clostridia; Lachnospirales; Lachnospiraceae
Description: Bacterial large subunit ribosomal RNA
Rfam family: Bacterial large subunit ribosomal RNA
Source: Rfam by way of RNAcentral